UAUUUUAGGCAUAUUUAAGCAUAGCACAAUUUUUGUCCUAGUGUGCUAGAGUUCUUGAAGACAAUCUGCUGGUCUUGAUUCACUGGUAGGGAUCUUCAGUGUCCCUGAGCCCAGAUCAGAAACAUGU
Myodes glareolus (Bank vole) is the source of this 127-nucleotide small nucleolar RNA. RefSeq annotates it as small nucleolar RNA SNORA3/SNORA45 family. The record is from RefSeq and is a predicted model, not a curated record. Lineage: Eukaryota; Metazoa; Chordata; Mammalia; Rodentia; Cricetidae.